This 459-nucleotide non-coding RNA is filed under the name Pongo abelii (Sumatran orangutan). The record is from RNAcentral. Lineage: Eukaryota; Metazoa; Chordata; Mammalia; Primates; Hominidae.
GCGCUGGGCCAGUGCAGGCCGAGCCCUGGCGUCUCUGCCUCGCUGGGUGGGGGUCCGGGGUGCGGCUGUCCAGAGGGCUGCCCCUCCCGCGGCCCGCGGGGAACGGGCGCAUCCCACCCUGCUCUGCAGGCCGCCCUUCUGCCAGCUGGGAGGCGAGGGCACACGUCCUAAGGCUGCCCAAGGGGGAGAGGAAUCGCGCCGGUAGGAGAGCGCACGGGAACCAGGAACGCAAGGCCGGCACAGGGGAGCCGAAGGAGCCAGACAGGGCCCGGCCACGCGCCCUCGUCGCUCGGCUGCGCUCCGUGACAGGAACCCAGGCUCCCACGCACGGGGAAUGCCUAGAACGGAGCUGGAAUGGAGGAAAACCAGUUUGGCUAUUAAGGGAACCUGUAGACACAGAGCAGAGCAAGAUAAGGCCAGGUUUCAGAAAGAAUAGCUGUUUACCAUCAAAGCAACUGG